This 253-nucleotide ribosomal RNA is filed under the name uncultured bacterium. RNAcentral describes it as "partial 16S ribosomal RNA". It matches the Rfam family "Bacterial small subunit ribosomal RNA", at positions 524 to 776 of the family's 1533-position model. The record is from RNAcentral.
UACGGAGGGGGCUAGCGUUGUUCGGAAUUACUGGGCGUAAAGCGCACGUAGGCGGCUUCGCAAGUCAGGGGUGAAAGCCCGGGGCUCAACCCCGGAACUGCGUUUGAGACUGCGUGGCUUGAAUCCGGGAGAGGCGGGUGGAAUUCCGAGUGUAGAGGUGAAAUUCGUAGAUAUUGGGAAGAACACCAGUGGCGAAGGCGGCGCGCUGGACCGGGACUGACGCUGAGGCGCGAAAGCGUGGGGAGCAAACAGG